UCCUUUAAUAGUACUGAAUAAUUCUAUACCCCUAUAGAACUUUUUAUGUUAAGACAAGUAACAAGAAUCAACUUUCUCUCUUAAUGUAAGUAUACAUCAAUUAACACACGAAAAAAUGUAGUAACACACUAGAAAAUCCUACAACAACCUCUGUUAACCUAACACUAGAACAUUCUUAGAAAGAUUAUAAAAAAAAGAAGGAACUCGGCAAACUUAGAUUCCGCCUGUUUACCAAAAACAUCGCCUCUUGCAUAAUAUAAGAGGUCCUGUCUGCCCAGUGACUCUGUUCAACGGCCACGGUAUCCUGACCGUGCAAAGGUAGCGUAAUCACUUGUUUUUUAAUUAAAGACCUGUAUGAAAGACCCCACGAGAAUCGCACUGUCUCCUCUCUUCAAUCAGUGAAAUUAAUCCUCUCGUGCAAAAGCGAGCAUCACCUUAUAAGACGAAAAGACCCUGUGGAGCUUAAAACAUCAAACACCUAUUUAAGUCACCCAACAUCCACACACUAAUAAUAGCAUGAUUGUAAGUUUUUGGUUGGGGUGACCAUGGAGAAAAACCAAACCUCCAAGAUGAACUAGAGAUUUCCUUAAUUUAGAGCUACAACUCUUUAUAUUAGCACACUAACACAAAUUGACCCUCCUUGAUCAACGAACCAAGUUACCCCAGGGAUAACAGCGCAAUCUACUUUGAGAGCACAUAUCGACAAGUGGGCUUACGACCUCGAUGUUGGAUCAGGG
RNAcentral lists this ribosomal RNA (737 nucleotides) under Adelophryne glandulata (Teresensis flea frog). Its description in RNAcentral is "partial small subunit ribosomal RNA". It matches the Rfam family "Bacterial large subunit ribosomal RNA", at positions 1550 to 2542 of the family's 2925-position model. The record is from RNAcentral. Lineage: Eukaryota; Metazoa; Chordata; Amphibia; Anura; Eleutherodactylidae.